This 460-nucleotide ribosomal RNA is filed under the name uncultured bacterium. RNAcentral describes it as "partial 16S ribosomal RNA". It matches the Rfam family "Bacterial small subunit ribosomal RNA", at positions 338 to 795 of the family's 1533-position model. The record is from RNAcentral.
CCUACGGGUGGCAGCAGUGAGGAAUAUUGGUCAAUGGGCUCUAUCCUUAACCAUCCCCUUCUCUUUCCUGAUGACUUCCCUAUUUGUUGUAAACUUCUUUUAUAUGGGAAUAAAGUGCAGUAUGUAUACUGCUUUGCAUGUACCUUAUGAAUAAGGAUCGGCUAACUCCGUGCCAGCAGCCGCGGUAAUACGGAGGAUCCGAGCGUUAUCCGGAUUUAUUGGGUUUAAAGGGAGCGUAGGCGGGUUGUUAAGUCAGUUGUGAAAGUUUGCGGCUCAACCGUAAAAUUGCAGUUGAUACUGGCAUCCUUGAGUACAGUAGAGGUAGGCGGAAUUCGUGGUGUAGCGGUGAAAUGCUUAGAUAUCACGAAGAACUCCGGUUGCGAAGGCAGCCUGCUGGACUGUAACUGACGCUGAUGCUCGAAAGUGUGGGUAUCAAACAGGAUUAGAUACCCCAGUAGUC